CAAAAACAUGUCCUUUUGAUUAUUAUUUAAGGUCUGGCCUGCCCAAUGAUUUUUAAAUGGCCGCAGUAUUUUGACUGUGCAAAGGUAGCAUAAUCAUUAGUUUCUUUAUUGGAAGCUGGAAUGAAAGGUUGGAUGAGAAAUUAACUGUCUCUAGUUUAAUUUAAUUGAAUUUUAUUUUUUAGUAAAAAAGCUAAAAUUAGUUAGGGGGACGAGAAGACCCUAUAGAGUUUUAUAUUAAAGCUGAACUAUGAUUUAGGUUUAUUUUUGUAUUGGUUUUUUUAUUUUAUUGGGGUGAUAUAAAAAUUUAGUUAACUUUUUAUUAUUAUAACACUAAUUAGUGAUUUUUUGAUCCUUAUUAUGGAUUACAAGAUUAAGUUACCUUAGGGAUAACAGCGUAAUUUCUUUGGAAAGUUCUUAUUGAUAAAGAAGUUUGCGACCUCGAUGUUGGAUUAAAGUUUAUUUUUGGUGUAGAAGCUGAAUAAUUAGGUCUGUUCGACCUUUAAAAUUUUACAUGAUCU
RNAcentral lists this ribosomal RNA (518 nucleotides) under Amarygmus sp. 1 GJK-2014. RNAcentral's name for it is "partial 16S ribosomal RNA". It matches the Rfam family "Archaeal large subunit ribosomal RNA", at positions 1900 to 2675 of the family's 2987-position model. The record is from RNAcentral. Lineage: Eukaryota; Metazoa; Arthropoda; Insecta; Coleoptera; Tenebrionidae.